UGGACCUUUACUUUGUAAUUGUCUGACACGGUGUCCCCCUUUUACCCUGAUGAGAACUUUGUAUACUUUGAUGUUCUGUAUCUGUGUGUAUCCCUUUGUUAGAUUUGUAGGUAUGUAGGCAGUAUCUCUGAUUGCUUGUUGGAUAUAUGUGUAUGUAUUACGUUCUUUGCUUGUUAAGUGUGUAUGGGUGAUAUCAAUAUGCAUUUUCUCUGCUUACUUUUUCUCUCUG
This 229-nucleotide long non-coding RNA is filed under the name Lupinus angustifolius (narrow-leaved blue lupine). RNAcentral describes it as "long non-coding RNA (LANG_LNC003146)". Lineage: Eukaryota; Viridiplantae; Streptophyta; Magnoliopsida; Fabales; Fabaceae. The record is from RNAcentral.